RNAcentral lists this ribosomal RNA (1083 nucleotides) under uncultured Pezizomycotina. RNAcentral's name for it is "eukaryotic LSU rRNA". The stretch from base 722 to 875 matches the Rfam family "5.8S ribosomal RNA". The record is from RNAcentral. Lineage: Eukaryota; Fungi; Ascomycota.
CUUGGUCAUUUAGAGGAAGUAAAAGUCGUAACAAGGUUUCCGUAGUGAACAUACUAAUUAGUAUCCUUCAUGAAGCCUUGGAAUUUAGUCACAUGUUACAACGAGGAGCGUAGCAAUAUCAGUAGUUCUACCUAGAAUGUAGCGGAUUUAGUUUAUAGUAAUGAAAUACUUUAAACUUAGGGGGGGUGCCACAUGAUAUUAGACCUGGGAAAUCUUAUAUUCACUGUGUUCACCCUUGACCCAUUUCCGCGUCCUAGGUAUGACGCCCCAACUGCCUUGAUUGUCUACGUAAUCCUUGCUGUCAGUGGCGAUGCCGUCCCUGUGCUAGGAUGUCGGAAAGACAACCAGCAGCUAUAUCAGUAAGUCUAAUAUAGUCCACAGAUCAAACGACGGUGGUCCAGAGUUCUUUUUUUGUUUUAUUAACUGAAGCGGGUGUAUGCCCGGGGAUGUUAAUAGUCUUAAACCCAUAGAAAAGAAUUUGGAUUCAGGUAUGACCGGCCUACUCUUGAAAAAGAGAUAGACUAUGCGUUCCGUAGGUGAACCUGCGGAAGGAUCAUUACAGAGUCAUUAUGGGUUAACACCCUAAUACUCCACCCUUUGUUUACAUUACCUUUGUUGCUUUGGCAGGCCCGUUUUAACCGCCGGCUUUUGCUGGUCAGUGCCUGCCAGAGGACCAAAACUCUUGUCUAAUCAUAUUGUCUGAGUACUAUAUAAUAGUUAAAACUUUCAACAACGGAUCUCUUGGUUCUGGCAUCGAUGAAGAACGCAGCGAAAUGCGAUAAGUAAUGUGAAUUGCAGAAUUCAGUGAAUCAUCGAAUCUUUGAACGCACAUUGCGCCCUCUGGUAUUCCGGGGGGCAUGCCUGUUCGAGCGUCAUUACAACCCUCAAGCUCUGCUUGGUAUUAAGCCUCACCUGUAAAGGCGGGCUAUAAAAUCAGUGGCGGUGCCAUCUGGCUUCAAGCGUAGUAAAUUUUCUCGCUUUGGGGACUUGGUGUGUGCUUGCUAAACCCCAAUUUAAUUUAAAGGUUGACCUCGGAUCAGGUAGGGAUACCCGCUGAACUUAAGCAUAUCAAUAAGCGGAGGA